Molecule: long non-coding RNA, 1089 nt
Organism: Oryctolagus cuniculus (rabbit)
Lineage: Eukaryota; Metazoa; Chordata; Mammalia; Lagomorpha; Leporidae
Product: small integral membrane protein 30
Source: RefSeq, a predicted model, not a curated record
AGCCAGUGACUGGAGAGCGCGCCAGUGCAUCAUGGGAGUCGUCGGCAGCGAGCAUUGUGGGAAAUGUAGUUUGAAGACUCCGCCCUCCUCGCCAUUCCUGUAAUGGCUGCUUCCUGGAAGGCGUUCUCCCGUGGAACCUCUUAGCCCCAGCCUCCGGAGCCCCAGGAAGGGAAUACUUCAAGUUAAAUAAAUAUAUAUACCGUUUCUUUGAACCCUUCUGCCUUCAAGAUCCCAACAUCAUGACCUCAGUUUCAACACAGUUGCUCUUAGUCCUAAUUUCACUGCUUUUGGUAUUGCCUGUUGUUGAAGCAGUAGAAGCUGGAGAUGCAAUCGCACUCUUGUUAGGAGUGGUUCUCAGCAUAACAGGCAUUUGUGCUUGCUUGGGGGUGUAUGCACGAAAGAGAAAUGGACAGAUGUGACUUUGAAGGGCCUCCUGAAUCAAACCUCGCCCUGAAAAUCUUUGUGCUAUUGCAGUUAAGCCUGAGCUUUGGUGUCGGAAAGUUCCAAGAAACAGUAAAUAGAAUAGUUUCACAUUCUUAGUUGUUUCCCUUAAAAUGGGAACCAGACUGAUGUAUGUAAGAGUGGAAGAAACUUUUCUUUACAGCAAGUAAUGCACUGAAAAAAAGAAAAUCCAGCCUAUAAUUUGUAUUUGCUGGUUGGAAAGGGAGUCAAAGAAGUAAUAUGGCAAAAAUUUGCAUAAAUGGUAUUUCAUAGCACAUGAAGCAAGAAGAAGGAAGCUCUUGACCAGAAUCCUAGAAAGUUGCCAUUGUUUAGUUAUGAUCACUGCCUCCUAAUAGUUGAGGAGUCUUUUCUCCAUAUCUUUAUUAGAUUUGUGUUUUAUUUCCCAAGUUAAUAUUGUACUGAGAUAUCAGAUAGCCAAAAAUUAACUUUUACCUCUGGGGAAAAAAAGUUUAGAAAAAAAUUUACUCAAUGUGUCUAAUGUUGAAAUGGAGAAAAGAUUUAAUGUUAAGAAAAACUUCAUGUUAAUAUCAAAAUGGAGAAGAGAUUUAAUGUAAAAAACACAUUGUUAACUGAGUAACAUCUUUAUGUGAGAAAUACUGUGUUAAAUAUAAAUCCAUUAUAAGUUAA